GCCCCUGUGGCGAAAUUCGGAAUACGCGGGAGACUUAAAAUCUUCUAGCCUUUAUGGCUUUAUCGGUUCAAGUCCGGUCAGGGGUA
This 86-nucleotide transfer RNA is filed under the name Gordonia phage Orchid. It matches the Rfam family "tRNA". From Rfam's summary of the family: Transfer RNA (tRNA) molecules are approximately 80 nucleotides in length. Lineage: Duplodnaviria; Heunggongvirae; Uroviricota; Caudoviricetes. The record is from Rfam by way of RNAcentral.